GACAUAAAUAACUGAUUAGUCAAAUUAGUUGCGAAGAGUGUUUGUGCAAAAAUGUUAUUAAUUAUUUAAAACAUUUCAUUUCUGUAUUGUGAAAUUUAUUAAUUAAAUCUUUGUAACAUUUCUUAUACUACAUUGUAUGUCAACCUUAAAGAACUCUCCGUUAUCUAAGUUACCUUUGACACAUGAUUAAUGUGUCAGCUGUCAGUCAAUUGUUUGAUGUACUUUGACCAAACAGAGUACAUACAUAAAUAUGAAUUAGGAGACACGUGAUAGAUUAUAAAUAUUAACUUUUAAAUUUGAAAUACUGUAAGCUUUUUGAACUGUUAUAUUUAGUCAAUAUGGGUAACAGAUCCAGCUUACUUUUACGCGAAGAAGAAAUAGCGCAAAUCCAAGAAGCUACUGGAUUUACUCCAAAUCAAAUUGAACGUCUGUACAGUCGUUUUACUAGUCUUGAUCGCGGAGAUUGUGGAACUUUGAGCAGGGAAGAUUUUCUCAGAAUUCCAGAAUUGGCAAUCAAUCCUCUUGGUGAUAGAAUUGUAAAUGCUUUUUUCGAAGAAAGCGGUAAUGAUAGAGUCAAUUUUCUACAAUUUAUGCAAGUGCUGGCUCACUUUAGACCCAUUAAAAAGAAUAGUCCCAAUAGGUUAAAUUCUAGGCAAGAAAAAUUGAAAUUUGCUUUCAAAAUGUACGAUUUAGAUAAUGAUGAUUUGAUAUCCAAAGAUGAACUUUUAGCUAUUUUGCAUAUGAUGGUUGGUGCAAACAUUAGUGAGGAACAGUUAACUAGCAUUGCAGAACGCACCAUAGUAGAGGCAGAUGAGAAUGGUGAUGGAAUGAUAUCGUUUGAAGAAUUCUGCAAAGCUCUGGAACGAACAGAUGUUGAGCAAAAAAUGUCUAUAAGAUAAUCUCAUUUAUUUUACAUAAAAAGGGAAGUCAAAACAGUUAUCAAUGUAUUGAAAGAUAUUACAGAUUUUGACAACCUACUCUUUACAAUGUCUAAUUAGUUACACGAUUUGUUACUCAUUUUACAAUCUUCCAAAAAGUGACAAGGUCUACUCUUAUAAUACCAUUGAAAAAUAAGUUAUACUACUGUUGACGCAUUUUAAAAAAUUGGGGUA
This 1112-nucleotide unclassified non-coding RNA is filed under the name Megachile rotundata (alfalfa leafcutting bee). Its description in RNAcentral is "calcineurin B homologous protein 1, transcript variant X1". The record is from RNAcentral. Lineage: Eukaryota; Metazoa; Arthropoda; Insecta; Hymenoptera; Megachilidae.